CAGAAGUGCGAAUGCUGACAUAAGUAACGAUAAAGCGGGUGAAAAGCCCGCUCGCCGGAAGACCAAGGGUUCCUGUCCAACGUUAAUCGGGGCAGGGUGAGUCGACCCCUAAGGCGAGGCCGAAAGGCGUAGUCGAUGGGAAACAGGUUAAUAUUCCUGUACUUGGUGUUACUGCGAAGGGGGGACGGAGAAGGCUAUGUUGGCCGGGCGACGGUUGUCCCGGUUUAAGCGUGUAGGCUGGUUUUCCAGGCAAAUCCGGAAAACCAAGGCUGAGGCGUGAUGACGAGGCACUACGGUGCUGAAGCGACAAAUGCCCUGCUUCCAGGAAAAGCCUCUAAGCAUCAGGUAACAUCAAAUCGUACCCCAAACCGACACAGGUGGUCAGGUAGAGAAUACCAAGGCGCUUGAGAGAACUCGGGUGAAGGAACUAGGCAAAAUGGUGCCGUAACUUCGGGAGAAGGCACGCUGAUAUGUAGGUGAAGCGACUUGCUCGUGGAGCUGAAAUCAGUCGAAGAUACCAGCUGGCUGCAACUGUUUAUUAAAAACACAGCACUGUGCAAACACGAAAGUGGACGUAUACGGUGUGACGCCUGCCCGGUGCCGGAAGGUUAAUUGAUGGGGUUAGCGGUAACGCGAAGCUCUUGAUCGAAGCCCCGGUAAACGGCGGCCGUAACUAUAACGGUCCUAAGGUAGCGAAAUUCCUUGUCGGGUAAGUUCCGACCUGCACGAAUGGCGUAAUGAUGGCCAGGCUGUCUCCACCCGAGACUCAGUGAAAUUGAACUCGCUGUGAAGAUGCAGUGUACCCGCGGCAAGACGGAAAGACCCCGUGAACCUUUACUAUAGCUUGACACUGAACAUUGAGCCUUGAUGUGUAGGAUAGGUGGGAGGCUUUGAAGUGUGGACGCCAGUCUGCAUGGAGCCGACCUUGAAAUACCACCCUUUAAUGUUUGAUGUUCUAACGUUGGCCCGUAAUCCGGGUUGCGGACAGUGUCUGGUGGGUAGUUUGACUGGGGCGGUCUCCUCCUAAAGAGUAACGGAGGAGCACGAAGGUUGGCUAAUCCUGGUCGGACAUCAGGAGGUUAGUGCAAUGGCAUAAGCCAGCUUGACUGCGAGCGUGACGGCGCGAGCAGGUGCGAAAGCAGGUCAUAGUGAUCCGGUGGUUCUGAAUGGAAGGGCCAUCGCUCAACGGAUAAAAGGUACUCCGGGGAUAACAGGCUGAUACCGCCCAAGAGUUCAUAUCGACGGCGGUGUUUGGCACCUCGAUGUCGGCUCAUCACAUCCUGGGGCUGAAGUAGGUCCCAAGGGUAUGGCUGUUCGCCAUUUAAAGUGGUACGCGAGCUGGGUUUAGAACGUCGUGAGACAGUUCGGUCCCUAUCUGCCGUGGGCGCUGGAGAACUGAGGGGGGCUGCUCCUAGUACGAGAGGACCGGAGUGGACGCAUCACUGGUGUUCGGGUUGUCAUGCCAAUGGCACUGCCCGGUAGCUAAAUGCGGAAGAGAUAAGUGCUGAAAGCAUCUAAGCACGAAACUUGCCCCGAGAUGAGUUCUCCCUGACUCCUUGAGGGUCCUGAAGGAACGUUGAAGACGACGACGUUGAUAGGCCGGGUGUGUAAGCGCAGCGAUGCGUUGAGCUAACCGGUACUAAUGAACCGUGAGGCUUAACCUU
This 1664-nucleotide ribosomal RNA is filed under the name Escherichia coli. RNAcentral describes it as "partial 23S ribosomal RNA". It matches the Rfam family "Bacterial large subunit ribosomal RNA", at positions 1283 to 2925 of the family's 2925-position model. Lineage: Bacteria; Pseudomonadati; Pseudomonadota; Gammaproteobacteria; Enterobacterales; Enterobacteriaceae. The record is from RNAcentral.